This is a long non-coding RNA of Hyla sarda, 288 nucleotides long. RefSeq lists it as uncharacterized. The record is from RefSeq and is a predicted model, not a curated record. The transcript has 3 exons. Lineage: Eukaryota; Metazoa; Chordata; Amphibia; Anura; Hylidae.
CAGAAGUAAGGAAUGCCGUUAUGGUGAUCAUGGGCAUACAGGAGCAUGCGGAUCUGUCCUAAGGGCCAACUAGGGCUUAGGGACAUGCAGACAGACUUCCUGGCAAAUGGCAACAUUAAUGUCCAGUUUUAUUAAAACAAAAUAAAACUCUUACUGCUGGGCUUUAGCAGUUCUUCAUCCAGUGGUUUCAUUCUGAAUGUUUGUGCCCUCCCCUCCUCUACACAACCUCCCCAUCUAUAGGCCCAGAACUGUUAUAAUGCCCUCCUGCACAGUAAAAGGACAGGUAAG